RNAcentral lists this ribosomal RNA (455 nucleotides) under Lactobacillus delbrueckii subsp. bulgaricus. Its description in RNAcentral is "partial 23S ribosomal RNA". It matches the Rfam family "Bacterial large subunit ribosomal RNA", at positions 1548 to 2012 of the family's 2925-position model. Lineage: Bacteria; Bacillati; Bacillota; Bacilli; Lactobacillales; Lactobacillaceae. The record is from RNAcentral.
UCAUAAGGACAAGGCGUGAUGAGGAGCGAAAUUAAAGUAGCGAAGGCUGCGACGUCACACUGCCGAGAAAAGCUUCUAGCCAGAGACGGUGCACCCGUACCGCAAACCGACACAGGUAGUCGAGGAGAGUAUCCUCAGGUGAGCGAGAGAACUCUCGUUAAGGAACUCGGCAAAAUGGCCCCGUAACUUCGGGAGAAGGGGCGCUGGUCGCAAGAUCAGCCGCAGUGAAAAGGCCCAAGCAACUGUUUAUCAAAAACACAGGCAUCUGCAAAAUCGUAAGAUGAAGUAUAGGUGCUGACACCUGCCCGGUGCUGGAAGGUUAAGAGGAGAGCUUAGCGCAAGCGAAGGUUUGAAUUGAAGCCCCAGUAAACGGCGGCCGUAACUAUAACGGUCCUAAGGUAGCGAAAUUCCUUGUCGGGUAAGUUCCGACCUGCACGAAAGGUGUAAUGAUUUGG